AAGUGCUCCCCGGGGAGAAUCCAGAUUGGUCGGGAGUCUAGUCAUGUGACUGACGCGGACUGACCCACAUUUAUAGCGUCCUCCGGAAUCAUACGACCUCUGAUGUGGAAGAACGAGCAUAAAUGAAGGGAAAGAAAGAGAGAAAGGAUGACAUUGUCUGUACCAACACCCAGAAAGGCAGCUCCUUUCUUCACAGAGUAAUGGCUCUGGAAAACAUGAACAGAUUCAGUCUACUAAGUAAGACAUGUGUCCUUACCUCUGGAGAUGUAAAGAUGGCCAAACGUGGGAGACUCCACAGCCCCUGGCUUUUG
Long non-coding RNA from Melanotaenia boesemani (Boeseman's rainbowfish), 311 nucleotides. RefSeq lists it as uncharacterized. NCBI's taxonomy places the organism in Eukaryota, Metazoa, Chordata, Actinopteri, Atheriniformes, Melanotaeniidae. The transcript is spliced from 4 exons. The record is from RefSeq and is a predicted model, not a curated record.